This 102-nucleotide Y RNA is filed under the name Prolemur simus (greater bamboo lemur). Its description in RNAcentral is "Y RNA (ENSPSMG00000014259.1)". It matches the Rfam family "Y RNA". Rfam says of the family: Y RNAs are components of the Ro ribonucleoprotein particle (Ro RNP), in association with Ro60 and La proteins. Lineage: Eukaryota; Metazoa; Chordata; Mammalia; Primates; Lemuridae. The record is from Rfam by way of RNAcentral.
GGUUGGUCCGAGUGCAGUGGUGUUUACAACUAAUUGAUCACAACCAGUUACAGAUUCCUUUGUUCCUUCUCCACUCCCACUGCUUCAUUUGACCAGCUUAAA